This 73-nucleotide transfer RNA is filed under the name Felis catus (domestic cat). It matches the Rfam family "tRNA". Rfam says of the family: Transfer RNA (tRNA) molecules are approximately 80 nucleotides in length. Their secondary structure includes four short double-helical elements and three loops (D, anti-codon, and T loops). Lineage: Eukaryota; Metazoa; Chordata; Mammalia; Carnivora; Felidae. RNAcentral also lists the same sequence under 2 other names. The record is from Rfam by way of RNAcentral.
ACCUGACUGGCUCAGUUGGUGGAGCAUGAGGUUCUUGAUCUUGGGGUUGUGAGUUCAAGCUUCGUGUUGGGUG